UUGAGCUUUGUCCGGUGUCGAACUUUGCCGUUCGAAGCUGGCGAGACUUGCCGAAAGAAUGUACGGUGGACACGUAAAAAAAAAAAUAAUACCAACUUUGAACCCCUUCAAUUCCCAGAAGGUCCUAACCCCCAAAAAAUCAUUUAAGUGGGUCCUGCUCUGAUUCAUUACCUUUCAUUUGAGCUAUGUCCGGUGUCGAACUUUGCCGUACAGAGCUGGCGAAACUUGCCGAAAGAAUGUACGGUGGACACGUAAAAAAAAAAUAAUACCAACUUUGAACCCCUUCAAUUCCCAGAAGGUCCUAACCCCCAAAAAAUCAUUUAAGUGGGUCCUGCUCUGAUUCAUUACCUUUCAUUUGAGCUUUGUCCGGUGUCGAACUUUGCCGUACGAAGCUGGCGAGACUUGCCGAAAGAAUGUACGGUGGACACGUAAAAAAAAAAUAAUACCAACUUUGAACCCCUUCAAUUCCCAGAAGGUCCUAACCCCCAAAAAAUCAUUUAAGUGGGUCCUGCUCUGAUUCAUUACCUUUCAUUUGAGCUAUGUCCGGUGUCGAACUUUGCCGUACAGAGCUGGCGAAACUUGCCGAAAGAAUGUACGGUGGACACGUAAAAAAAAAAUAAUACCAACUUUGAACCCCUUCAAUUCCCAGAAGGUCCUAACCCCCAAAAAAUCAUUUAAGUGGGUCCUGCUCUGAUUCAUUACCUUUCAUUUGAGCUUUGUCCGGUGUCGAACUUUGCCGUACGAAGCUGGCGAGACUUGCCGAAAGAAUGUACGGUGGGCACGUAAAAAAAAAAAUAAUACCAACUUUGAACCCCUUCAAUUCCCAGAAGGUCCUAACCCCCAAAAAA
Long non-coding RNA from Mytilus californianus (California mussel), 848 nucleotides. RefSeq lists it as uncharacterized. The transcript has 3 exons. Lineage: Eukaryota; Metazoa; Mollusca; Bivalvia; Mytilida; Mytilidae. The record is from RefSeq and is a predicted model, not a curated record.